AAAAAGAAAAAGUGCUGCAAGAUAAAAGGAGGAUGCAGGCGAAGAACAACAACAGUCCUCUGCUCACAAAGUUUCUCCAGCAAAGAGAGAUCUGCCCAUUGCUUCUUUUCCUCCAGUCCAUGGGAGGGAUCUCUUCAACACACAGCUACUCUGCAGGGGGAAGAGGGAGAGUAUUUCUCAGAGAUUUUUGGAAUGUGAGGAUGCCAGCCAAGACUCGGAGAACUUGCUGGGGGUCAGUGACAGCCCUAAUUGCAUUUUCUGAUAAGAUCUGCUUUGGAAGGAUUUCCAUUUUAGAGCUGUUCAUUAAUCAGACUCUCUUUCAGAGUAAAUCAGGAAAACAGAAGAAAGAAGAGGCCCAUCAGCUUAGCACUCCUCAGUCCCAUCUCAGGGCUAAAGAACUUCUUGGACAAGUUUACAACGGGAGACUAAUGUUGCAAACUAA
This is a long non-coding RNA of Struthio camelus australis, 442 nucleotides long. The record is from Ensembl. NCBI's taxonomy places the organism in Eukaryota, Metazoa, Chordata, Aves, Struthioniformes, Struthionidae.